Molecule: long non-coding RNA, 253 nt
Filed under: Monodelphis domestica (gray short-tailed opossum)
Lineage: Eukaryota; Metazoa; Chordata; Mammalia; Didelphimorphia; Didelphidae
Description: lncRNA (ENSMODG00000040736.1)
Source: RNAcentral
GAGGAAUGUUGUGCUGAUAUAUAAACAUCUCUAUUUCAUCUGUGAUUAUUUACUUCUGAAAAUAACCUAAAGCCAUUCUUCUGAUAUUUGCAAGCAUUUGAGAAAAUUGUAAAGAAGAGAUCACAAAAGAGUCAUUGUGCAGUACCAAGAAGUACAAGGUCAAGGAACCCAACCAAUCCCAAUGUGAUUGAUGAGAAUCUGUGCCAAGACAGAGGACUUGUUUUGAGGUUCGAGGAAGCAGCUGUUUGACAAU